UACGGAGGAUCCAAGCGUUAUCCGGAAUCAUUGGGUUUAAAGGGUCCGUAGGCGGUUUAGUAAGUCAGUGGUGAAAGCCCAUCGCUCAACGGUGGAACGGCCAUUGAUACUGCUAGACUUGAAUUAUUAGGAAGUAACUAGAAUAUGUAGUGUAGCGGUGAAAUGCUUAGAGAUUACAUGGAAUACCAAUUGCGAAGGCAGCUAGCUACAGGGAUAUUGACACUGAGGCACGAAAAGCGUGGGGGAUCAAAACAGG
RNAcentral lists this ribosomal RNA (256 nucleotides) under uncultured bacterium. Its description in RNAcentral is "partial 16S ribosomal RNA". It matches the Rfam family "Bacterial small subunit ribosomal RNA", at positions 524 to 776 of the family's 1533-position model. The record is from RNAcentral.